This 245-nucleotide small RNA is filed under the name Otolemur garnettii (small-eared galago). RNAcentral's name for it is "Metazoan signal recognition particle RNA (ENSOGAG00000028394.1)". Lineage: Eukaryota; Metazoa; Chordata; Mammalia; Primates; Galagidae. The record is from RNAcentral.
GCCAGGCGUUGUAGCGGGCACCUGUGGUCCCAGCUACUUGGGAGGCAGAGGCAGGAGACUCGCUUGAGCCCAGGAGUUGGAGGUUGCUGUGAGCUGUGAUGCCAUGGCACUCUACCCAGGGGGACAGCUUGAGGCUCUGUCUCAAAAAAAAAGACAGGGUCUCACAUUGUCACCCUUGGUAGAGUGCCAUGAUGUCAUAGCUCACAGCAACCUCAAAAUCUUAGGCUCAAGGGAUCUUCUUGCUU